AUUGAACGCUGGCGGCAGGCUUAACACAUGCAAGUCGAGCGGGGGAAGGUAGCUUGCUACCGGACCUAGCGGCGGACGGGUGAGUAAUGCUUAGGAAUCUGCCUAUUAGUGGGGGACAACAUCUCGAAAGGGAUGCUAAUACCGCAUACGUCCUACGGGAGAAAGCAGGGGAUCUUCGGACCUUGCGCUAAUAGAUGAGCCUAAGUCGGAUUAGCUAGUUGGUGGGGUAAAGGCCUACCAAGGCGACGAGCUGUAGCGGGUCGGAGAGGAUGAUCCGCCACAAUGGGACGGAGACACGGCCCAGACUCCUACGGGAGGCUGCAGUGGGGAAUAUUGGACAAUGGGGGGAACCCUGAUCCAGCCAUGCCGCGUGUGUGAAGAAGGCCUUAUGGUUGUAAAGCACUUUAAGCGAGGAGGAGGCUACUCUAGUUAAUACCUAGGGAUAGUGGACGUUACUCGCAGAAUAAGCACCGGCUAACUCUGUGCCAGCAGCCGCGGUAA
This 501-nucleotide ribosomal RNA is filed under the name uncultured bacterium. RNAcentral describes it as "partial 16S ribosomal RNA". It matches the Rfam family "Bacterial small subunit ribosomal RNA", at positions 30 to 523 of the family's 1533-position model. The record is from RNAcentral.